This 500-nucleotide ribosomal RNA is filed under the name uncultured bacterium. Its description in RNAcentral is "bacterial SSU rRNA". It matches the Rfam family "Bacterial small subunit ribosomal RNA", at positions 30 to 504 of the family's 1533-position model. The record is from RNAcentral.
UGAACGCUGGCGGCGUGCUUAACACAUGCAAGUCGAACGAGAAAGGGAUUGCUUGCAAUCCUGAGUAGAGUGGCGCACGGGUGAGUAACACGUAGAUAAUCUACCUUCAAGCCCGGGAUAACUAUUCGAAAGGAUAGCUAAUACCGGAUGAAGUUGACCGGCACAAGUUGGUUAAUGAAAGAUUGCCUCUUCUUGAAAGCAAUUGUUUGGAGAUGAGUUUGCGGACCAUUAGCUUGUUGGUGGGGUAAAGGCCUACCAAGGCUGCGAUGGUUAGCUGGUCUGAGAGGAUGAUCAGUCACACUGGAACUGGAACACGGUCCAGACUCCUACGGGAGGCAGCAGUGAGGAAUUUUGCGCAAUGGGGGCAACCCUGACGCAGCAACGCCGCGUGAGUGAAGAAGGCCUUUGGGUCGUAAAGCUCUGUCAACUGGGAAGAAGUUAUUAUUGUUUAAUAGAUGAUAGUAUUGACGGUACCAGUGGAGGAAGCGCCGGCUAACUCC